This 582-nucleotide ribosomal RNA is filed under the name uncultured bacterium. RNAcentral describes it as "bacterial SSU rRNA". It matches the Rfam family "Bacterial small subunit ribosomal RNA", at positions 205 to 807 of the family's 1533-position model. The record is from RNAcentral.
AGAUUAUCGGAUUGGAGCGGCCCGCGUUAGAUUAGGUAGUUGGUGGGGGUAAUGGCCUACCAAGCCUACGAUCUAUAGCUGGUUUUAGAGGAUGAUCAGCAACACUGGGACUGAGACACGGCCCAGACUCCUACGGGAGGCAGCAGUGGGGAAUCUUGGACAAUGGGGGCAACCCUGAUCCAGCCAUGCCGCGUGAGUGAUGAAGGCCUUAGGGUCGUAAAGCUCUUUCGCCUGUGAUGAUAAUGACAGUAGCAGGUAAAGAAACCCCGGCUAACUCCGUGCCAGCAGCCGCGGUAAUACGGAGGGGGUUAGCGUUGUUCGGAAUUACUGGGCGUAAAGCGCGCGUAGGCGGAUUAGUCAGUUAGAGGUGAAAUCCCAGGGCUCAACCCUGGAACUGCUUUUAAUACUGCUAGUCUUGAGUUCGAGAGAGGUGAGUGGAAUUCCGAGUGUAGAGGUGAAAUUCGUAGAUAUUCGGAGGAACACCAGUGGCGAAGGCGGCUCACUUGCUCUAUACUGACGCUGAGGUGCGAAAGUGUGGGGGAGCAAACAGGAUUAGAUACCCUGGUAGUCCACACCGUAAAC